This is an RNA transcript of Diospyros lotus (date-plum), 1641 nucleotides long. It is a transcript of the gene named Holliday junction resolvase MOC1, chloroplastic, with no coding region annotated. The record is from RefSeq and is a predicted model, not a curated record. NCBI's taxonomy places the organism in Eukaryota, Viridiplantae, Streptophyta, Magnoliopsida, Ericales, Ebenaceae. The transcript has 7 exons.
AAAGGGGUGAACAAAAUGGCACUCGAGAGGAGAGGGAGGGGAAGAAGAUAUCCCAAUCAACUGGGCGCCAAUUUGAACAGGUCACUCGUCUCUCUCUCUCUCUCUCUCUCUCUGUACGUUUGUUGAUGGAGACCCUUCAAAUCCAGCCUCCAUUGCAGCCUGCAAACCCCUACUCCAUGAACUCAAUCCCCUCCAAGUUUGGAUCAAAACUCGGCUUCCGUUGCCCUACCAUUAGACGUUUCUGUGUCGUGUCUUCCCCAAAUUUGGCACCGACGACUGCCAAAGAACGGAAGGGUCGCAGAAAGAGUGUCGCCUUGGAGAGUAACGGAAGAGCCAAGGCCAAGGUUUCGGACGCUCAGCUGAAGGAGAACUGGCUCGCUUCUCUCUCUUGCCCCUUGCCGGACAAGCUCAAUGGCCAAGACGUUCUGCAUGUCUGCAGCCGCAAUUCCGACUCCCCGUGGAUAAUUGGAAUCGAUCCUGAUGUUUCUGGCGCUUUGGCCCUAUUGAAAACCGACGGUUCCGACGGCUGUUCUGCUCAGGUAUUUGAUUCUCCUAAUCUAAAAGUGUUGGUGGGUAGAAGUCUCCGACGACGUUUAGAUGCCAAGUCCAUUGUUCAGUUGAUUAGGAGUUUUGAUGCUCCACUUGGGACCAUUGCAUACAUAGAGCAAUCAUUACCUUAUCCCCAAGAUGGUAAACAGGGAUGGUGGAGCGGGGGAUUUGGAUAUGGACUCUGGAUUGGUAUGUUAGUUGCCUCAGGAUUUUCUGUUGUUCCAGUGCCAUCUUUUGUAUGGAAGAAUGAGUUUAAACUCUUGGGAAACUGCUCAAGUAAGGAUGAUAGCAGGGAGGUUGCUUCUGCAUUAUUUCCAUCCAUGAGUUCCUCGUUGAGAAGGAAGAAAGAUCAUGUGGUGAAAGAUGCAGGACUGUGAGGCCAAAAGUAAAAAUCUUAGUUAUGAGGGCAACUACUUUAAUGUUCGCUCAGUAUGGUCGAGCUGAGGCACUAUUAAUUGCUGCUUAUGGAAAAGGCCUGCAGAUGACCACCAAUUCACCAAGCGUGGCAAAAGAACUGGUGUCCUAAAAUGGGCAAAAUUGGCAAUAACCCACUUCAUUUUCGUGCCACAUCCUUUAGUUAUUGCUGGAUGUCUUCUCUUGCAAAUGCUACAAAUUGAAAGGCAACACGGAUUGGUAACAGGAGAAAAACACUUGAUGGAUCAUGCUAGAAUAUUUAUUGCACUUGAUCAGGCAUUUCUCUGGGUUUUAAACUAUCAUUUGUUCACUCCAAAAUUGCUAUGGUGGUUCUGCAAUCACGGCUGCUGAUUCAUUGAGAUCAAGCGGAUGGUCAUGCUAACUCAAAUUCUUGAUGGGGUUUGAGUUCAUUGUAACCUAGAGGUCUCAGGUUAAAUUUAGGAAAUAGCUUGUUUGUUGAGGAGAGGUAAGACUGCGUACAAUUCUUGAACCCUACAAUGGGGGAGCUUCCUGCACUGGAUUCACUUUUUGAGCUCCGAAUUAGGAUCAUCUACCAUAACCUAUGAAGAACGUCUAAGAUUCUAAUAGACUUUUGAAGUUCUCUUUGGGAGCAUGCAAUUUCCUUUGCGGACCUGGUAUGGUUAAUAGUGACAGGCUAAUUUAUUAAAAUUUCAGUCA